Coprinopsis marcescibilis is the source of this 97-nucleotide non-coding RNA. NCBI's taxonomy places the organism in Eukaryota, Fungi, Basidiomycota, Agaricomycetes, Agaricales, Psathyrellaceae. The record is from the annotation of a GenBank genome assembly.
GCAUCAAUGGGGUAGUGGUAACCUGGGUCGUUGCCAUUCGAGACUCAAUUUCGUUUGCCGUCUCGACCCGCCGGGGGUUCGAUUCCCUCUUGAUGCA